Molecule: ribosomal RNA, 566 nt
Filed under: Triticum aestivum (bread wheat)
Lineage: Eukaryota; Viridiplantae; Streptophyta; Magnoliopsida; Poales; Poaceae
Description: partial small subunit ribosomal RNA
Source: RNAcentral
GGUGCCUCCUUCGGUAGCGGACGCAGCUCCCCUUUUUGUGGUGGCAGUUUCAACUGACGACUUGGCUUCCUCUUCUCUGAAUCUUGCUCCGAUGGCUUGGGAUUGCUCAGACUGUGGCCAAGGCGAAACCCUUGCUCGAUUUUUCGAUGCUGGCAGCGGCGACACCUAUGGGUGCCGUCACCUUCUUGAAGGCGCUGCCAUGGCCGUCAUUUGUGCCCCUCUUCGAGCAGCAGGGGAAACCCUAGGUCCGGUUAUCCGGAUCGGACGGCGACGGCGUCUCGGCGUCGUUCUCCUUCAUGAAGGCGUCGUCUUGUUUGUUUGCGGCGUCCUCGGUAGUGGAUUUAGAGAUGUUGGCCGCCAUGUUCGAUUGGUUUGGGCUGCUUACAGGGUGGCGAGUUUAGCUGUGUUGUGUCUAUGUCUGGGUUGAGCAUCCCAUGUCUCUGCUCCGUGCACCAUGGUAACGCCUCUGCGUUCGUGCCAUGUGUUGUACUACCGCUUGUAUUCACCCUUCUUCUAUCAAUGCAAUGAUACGCAAGCUUUGCGUAUUCGCGAAAAAAAUACUCCCU